AACCAUAGAAACCUGCGGAGUACCUGCGGAGGGAUCAUUAACAAUUGUCCAGUCUGCUUUGACUAUGGACAUUUAUCCAUAUCCACCUUGUGUGAACUAGAGAAACAUGAGUUGGCAGGUUUUUUCUUCCUGUAAGAGAAUAAGGGUGUGUAAAAACACCUUUACGAGAAUUGAUCUCGGCCUGCCAAUUUUUAUUGUCUCGACUCGUCUGUAACAUUUUAUGACUGAAAAUUAUUAAUU
RNAcentral lists this unclassified non-coding RNA (240 nucleotides) under soil metagenome. RNAcentral's name for it is "partial contains 5.8S ribosomal RNA, internal transcribed spacer 2, and large subunit ribosomal RNA". The record is from RNAcentral.